This 343-nucleotide ribosomal RNA is filed under the name uncultured bacterium. RNAcentral describes it as "bacterial SSU rRNA". It matches the Rfam family "Bacterial small subunit ribosomal RNA", at positions 8 to 334 of the family's 1533-position model. The record is from RNAcentral.
AGAGUUCGAUUAUGGCUCAGGAUGAACGCUGGCGGCGUGCCUAACACAUGCAAGUCGAGCGAGAAAUUUCUAAAUGAAACUUCGGUAGAUUUUAGGGAUGGAAAGCGGCGGACGGGUGAGUAACGCGUAGGCAACCUGCCCCUUGCAGAGGGAUAGCCAUUGGAAACGAUGAUUAAAACCUCAUAAUACCGGAGCAUCACAUGUUGAACCGGUCAAAGAUUUAUCGGCAAGGGAUGGGCCUGCGUCUGAUUAGCUGGUUGGUGGGGUAACGGCCUACCAAGGCGACGAUCAGUAGCCGACCUGAGAGGGUGAUCGGCCACAUUGGAACUGAGACACGGUCCAA